GACGAACGCUGGCGGCGUGCUUAACACAUGCAAGUCGAACGGAAAGGCCCUGCUUUUGUGGGGUGCUCGAGUGGCGAACGGGUGAGUAACACGUGAGUAACCUGCCCUUGACUUUGGGAUAACUUCAGGAAACUGGGGCUAAUACCGGAUAGGAGCUCCUGCUGCAUGGUGGGGGUUGGAAAGUUUCGGCGGUUGGGGAUGGUCUCGCGGCUUAUCAGCUUGUUGGUGGGGUAGUGGCUUACCAAGGGUUUGACGGGUAGCCGGCCUGAGAGGGUGACCGGCCACAUUGGGACUGAGAUACGGCCCAGACUCCUACGGGAGGCAGCAGUGGGGAAUAUGGCACAGUGGGCGGAAGCCUGAUGCAGCAACGCCGCGUGCGGGAUGACGGCCUUCGGGUUGUAAACCGCUUUCGCCUGUGACGAAGCGUGAGUGACGGUAAUGGGUAAAGAAGCACCGGCUAACUACGUG
This 468-nucleotide ribosomal RNA is filed under the name uncultured bacterium. RNAcentral's name for it is "partial 16S ribosomal RNA". It matches the Rfam family "Bacterial small subunit ribosomal RNA", at positions 28 to 507 of the family's 1533-position model. The record is from RNAcentral.